This is a non-coding RNA of Phrynosoma platyrhinos (Desert horned lizard), 72 nucleotides long. The record is from the annotation of a GenBank genome assembly. NCBI's taxonomy places the organism in Eukaryota, Metazoa, Chordata, Lepidosauria, Squamata, Phrynosomatidae.
UACAGCAUGGCAUAGUGGUUUGAGUGUUGGACUGAGACUCUGGAGAUCAGGGUUCGAUUCCUCGUUUGGCCA